This is a long non-coding RNA of Ctenopharyngodon idella (grass carp), 3534 nucleotides long. RefSeq lists it as uncharacterized. The transcript has 3 exons. The record is from RefSeq and is a predicted model, not a curated record. Lineage: Eukaryota; Metazoa; Chordata; Actinopteri; Cypriniformes; Xenocyprididae.
ACGAGCAGGCCACAGCAAUGCCACGUGUCAUCUGAGAGCAAAAACAAAACAAAAAAAAAUUAACCAGAGCUGGACCUUAUCUGAGCCAGAAUCACAGAAGGAACGAAAACAGAAAAAGAGACAAACAGAAAUACAAGAACUACAACUGAUUGACCAGAUUGACUUUAUUUCUGUCAGGCAUCUACAAAAGUUUUUAAGCACAAACCAUUACAACACUUUCAGAACCUUAUUGUGUUGUUGUUCAUUUCCUAUCAAAUACGUUAAGUACAACAUUAACAGGUAAAUGAAAAAUAAAGAAUAUUAAAUACAUAUAUAAUGUGUGUGUGUACAGUUAAACAGGAAAAAUUACGCCUGUAAUUGCAAAAUGAAGGUUUAUAAUAGACCCCUCCUCACUAAGAUAAAAGUUUUUGUCGUUUUCUCGCUCAGAGUUGUUCUCAGAUUGGUCCUGAAUCGCUCUUAAGCUAAGACUCCUACGUAGAAAUUGAAGCUAAAUUAGGAGCUUUCUGAGAGGAUUCUUAGAAGCUUUACGAAAGCGGGCCCAGAUCACUUUAAACAAACUUUUUAUUUAUGUAUUUUUAUUUAUUCAAACGUUCACUGAUGCUUCAGAAGUUCUCACCCCCCAGCUCUUAAUGCAUCGUGUUUCCUUCUGAAGCAUCAGUGAAUGUUUCAACCUUUUUUAAUAGUUGUGUUUGAGUCCCUCAGUUGUCCUCAGUGUGAAAAGGUGGAUCUCAAAAUCAUUCAGUCACUGUUGUAAAGGGUUCAAAUAUGCAAAAGAUGGUGGAAAACUGAAGAAUUUUUGGGACCUGGAGAUUUUUUUCUGAAGAACAGAGCUCAGUUUAACUGCUCAGAAUAAACAAGAGACUCAUGAACAACCAUCACAAAACAAAAAAACAGUUGUAGAUCAUCCAGGUAACCACACACAGUAUUAAGAAUCAAUGGUUCACAAACUUUUGAACUGGGUCAUUUUAAUAAAUUCAGCUAUUUUUUUUUUUUUUUUUGUCUUGUGAAUUAUAUGUAAACAUCUUUUAUGUAAAAUAUCUUACUUAGGACAGUACUAAAUAAAAAAAAUAACAUGCAUUUUGUAUGGUCUCUCUUAUUUUAUUAAAAUUUUGCACAUUUUCACAGAUUCUGCAAGUGGUUCACAUACUUUUUCUUGCAACUGUAUAACAUAACAAAGCCCUGUUUACUGAAAUCACGUGACUUUGGCAGUUUGAUACGCGCUCCGAACCACUGAUUUGAAACAAAAGAUUCGUAAAGCUUCUUAAAGCAGUGUUUUGAAACCGCCCAUCACUAGAUUUUGUUUAAUAAAGUCGUUAUUUUGUUUUUUUGGUGCACAAAAAGUAUUCUCGUCACUUCAUAACAUUAAGGUUGAACCACUGUAGUCACAUGAACUAUUUUAAAUAUGUCUUUAGUAGCUUUCUGGGCAUUUGAAAGUGUUAUCUUGCUGUCAAUGGAGGCCUCACUGAGCCAUCAGAUUUUAUCAAAAAUAUCUUAAUUUGUGUUCUGAAGAUGAACGAAGGUCUUACGGGUGUGGAACAACAUGAGGGUGAGUGAUUAAUGACAGAAUUUUCAUUUUUGGGUGAACUAACCCUUUAAAUUAAUCGUUCAUCUGAACAGUGCACAUGCAUUUUAGACACUCAUGUUGUGUUCUGCACUCCAUCUAUGAAAUAAAUGCACAUCCUUGAAUGACCACCUUGUUUUGAUAUCCUUUAGGGUGGAUCAAACAAUAGAAAGUCAUAAAACUUUAAAAUGCACUCACAAAUGUCAACUGUCAGCUGUCUGUCACACAGCCGCUAGCCAUGUAACGACGCUCGGCUGCCACGUCUGGGAUUGGGAUACUUUUACACUUGUGCUGUGAUUACGCUACUUUUGGGAUGGUUUUGUUGCGCAGACCUGGCAACCUUCCACUCCAAAGCCCCACCCCUUUCAUGCACUCCGAAGUGCGCAGCCCCUGAAUUGGGACACAGCUAAGGAGUAUCUCCGGUGCUGGAAUAAUAAAGAUAGAGGUGAAAGUCUGUCAAGGGAGAUGUCGAAAUGACUCUGUGAACAUUCCUGAAAUACACUGGAUAUUUUUCAGGCUCCUGUUUCUCAAAAUCAUUAAACAGAACCAGAGUGAACUUAAACACUUGAGCUCCAAAAUUCUCCUGAAUUUGCUCCACAACAUUCCUCUCAUCCUCUAUGAAGUCUUCCAGGUUGAUGAUGAGCAGGAACAUGUGAGGACCAGGAUCAGAGAGAUACAGACUCUUCAUCAUCUGCUUCUUCAUCUCUUCAUCAGUCAGACAAUGUUUUACAACAAUAAUCAUGGAAAUAUCUGGUAAGUGUUUUUUUUUUUUUUUUUUGUAAAACAUUUAAGGAAAAUUAGGAUAUGAAUUGGGAUAUUUUACCCAAUUUUAUUUUAUUUUUUUUUUUAUUUUUUUUUUAACAAUCUUUAACCAUUAUUUUCAUUAAUGGUCAACAUUUGGCACACUGUGCUGCCAUGCAUUUCACUUUUUUAUGUUUAUUUUUUAUUUAUUUAUUUUUUUUACAGUGCAGAUUUUACCUAAAAAAAAAAAUAUAUUUUUUAAGAGAAGGCAGAGUAUGGAGUGUCGCGACACGUAAGACUCAUUUACUGCAUUACCACCACUAAAUGUGUAGUAUUAUUUUAUAAUAGGUACUAUGUAAUACUGAAUGAUAAUGUAUAUUGUCUAAAGAAAAUAAUAUCAAUGUUUUCUUUCUUUGGCUUUCAACUUAUAAGAUUUGAAUGACUAUGACUGCCAUGCACUAUGAUGCUUAUAUAAUGCGUUUUUAUGAAUAAAGAGGAAAUUAAUAAUUUAAUUAUAAUUAUUGCAUUGUAUUGUUGUUUAAUGAAAAAAUAAUGUGUUCUCUAUAUGGCUUCCAGGUGUCACCAAAAUAAUUGCACUUGAAUUGUAAUGAUUUAUGACUGCUGUGAAUGCCUAAUAAUGAUAACAUGUUUUAAAGAAAGAAGGUAAACGAAAUAUAAAGAUUUUAAUAAAUAAAUUCAUUUGUUCUAUGGCUUCCAGAUUUCAACAGUUAAAUUGCAGUUACAUUUUUACUGACUAUAGAGAACUGACAGUGAAACAUUCACCCCUGAUAUCUUUUCCUGUAAAUCAGGGCUUUCUGUUUGCUUUCGGUUUCACUUUAGCAAAAAAACAACAACAAAAAAACAAAAAAAAACUACAGAAUUCAAAGUUCUUUUAUACUGAUUACAUAAAGGGAACAGAAGGGAGAAUUAUAAGACGUGUGUUAUGAUUUUACGGUAGUGUGGCACAUAUGCAAGAAUGCCAAAUAUAAAUAAAAAUAAUGACAGACAACAUUUGCUUGCUUGGCAUUUCCCAUUUCAACAAAAGGCAGGAGAAAACUUUCUUUGACAGUAAUAUAAUAACAAGGUGAACAGGUUUCUGAAAUGAAAACCAGGGACAUUUCCUAGUUCAGUGCUCAAAAUAUCACUGAAAUCUAACUUAUGUUGAAAAUGGAAACAAUACAUACAUUUUUAUGUUUUUGUUUUUAAAGGGGUUUUAUAGUGCCACUUUUACA